CCUACGGGGAGCUGCAGUGGGGAAUAUUGGACAAUGGGCGAAAGCCUGAUCCAGCCAUGCCGCGUGUGUGAAGAAGGCCUUCGGGUUGUAAAGCACUUUCAGUGGGGAAGAAAGCCUUGGGGCUAAUACCCUCGAGGAAGGACAUCACCCACAGAAGAAGCACCGGCUAACUCCGUGCCAGCAGCCGCGGUAAUACGGAGGGUGCGAGCGUUAAUCGGAAUUACUGGGCGUAAAGCGCGCGUAGGCGGUCUGAUAAGCCGGUUGUGAAAGCCCCGGGCUCAACCUGGGAACGGCAUCCGGAACUGUCAGGCUAGAGUGCAGGAGAGGAAGGUAGAAUUCCCGGUGUAGCGGUGAAAUGCGUAGAGAUCGGGAGGAAUACCAGUGGCGAAGGCGGCCUUCUGGACUGACACUGACGCUGAGGUGCGAAAGCGUGGGUAGCAAACAGGAUUAGAUACCUAUAGUC
RNAcentral lists this ribosomal RNA (463 nucleotides) under Vreelandella stevensii. Its description in RNAcentral is "partial 16S ribosomal RNA". It matches the Rfam family "Bacterial small subunit ribosomal RNA", at positions 338 to 795 of the family's 1533-position model. The record is from RNAcentral. Lineage: Bacteria; Pseudomonadati; Pseudomonadota; Gammaproteobacteria; Oceanospirillales; Halomonadaceae.